AACCUGCCUCUUAGCGGGGGAUAACUAUUGGAAACGAUAGCUAAUACCGCAUAAAAGUCGAUAUCGCAUGAUAUUGAUUUGAAAGGUGCAAUUGCAUCACUAAGAGAUGGACCUGCGUUGUAUUAGCUAGUUGGUGAGGUAACGGCUCACCAAGGCGACGAUACAUAGCCGACCUGAGAGGGUGAUCGGCCACACUGGGACUGAGACACGGCCCAGACUCCUACGGGAGGCAGCAGUAGGGAAUCUUCGGCAAUGGGGGCAACCCUGACCGAGCAACGCCGCGUGAGCGAAGAAGGUUUUCGGAUCGUAAAGCUCUGUUGUAAGAGAAGAACGAGUGUGAGAGUGGAAAGUUCACACUGUGACGGUAGCUUACCAGAAAGGGACGGCUAACUACGUGCCAGCAGCCGCGGUAAUACGUAGGUCCCGAGCGUUAUCCGGAUUUAUUGGGCGUAAAGCGAGCGCAGGCGGUUAGAUAAGUCUGAAGUUAAAGGCUGUGGCUUAACCAUAGUACGCUUUGGAAACUGUUUAACUUGAGUGCAGAAGGGGAGAGUGGAAUUCCAUGUGUAGCGGUGAAAUGCGUAGAUAUAUGGAGGAACACCGGUGGCGAAAGCGGCUCUCUGGUCUGUAACUGACGCUG
RNAcentral lists this ribosomal RNA (637 nucleotides) under uncultured Bacilli bacterium. RNAcentral describes it as "bacterial SSU rRNA". It matches the Rfam family "Bacterial small subunit ribosomal RNA", at positions 123 to 748 of the family's 1533-position model. Lineage: Bacteria; Bacillati; Bacillota; Bacilli. The record is from RNAcentral.